UACAGAGGGUGCGAGCGUUGUUCGGAAUUAUUGGGCGUAAAGGGCGCGUAGGCGGUGCGGUAAGUCACCUGUGAAAUCUCCUGGCUCAACUCGGAGCUUGCAGGCGAAACUGCCGUGCUGGAGUGUGGGAGAGGUGCGUGGAAUUCCUGGUGUAGCGGUGAAAUGCGCAGAUAUCAGGAAGAACACCCGUGGCUAAGGCGGCUCUCUAGUACGGUACUGACGCUGAGACGCGAAAGCGUGGGGAGCGAACAGG
RNAcentral lists this ribosomal RNA (253 nucleotides) under uncultured bacterium. Its description in RNAcentral is "partial 16S ribosomal RNA". It matches the Rfam family "Bacterial small subunit ribosomal RNA", at positions 524 to 776 of the family's 1533-position model. The record is from RNAcentral.